Molecule: ribosomal RNA, 872 nt
Filed under: uncultured eukaryote
Lineage: Eukaryota
Description: SSU rRNA
Rfam family: Eukaryotic small subunit ribosomal RNA
Source: RNAcentral
GUGCCAAGCAGCCGCGGUAAUUCCAGCUCCAAUAGCGUAUAUUAAAGUUGUUGCAGUUAGAACGCUCGUAGUCGGAUUUCGGGGCAGUCCGACCGGUCUGCCGAUGGGUAUGCACUGGCCGGAGUGUCCUUUUUGCCGGAGACCGUGCCUACUCUUAACUGAGCGGGGGCGGGAGACGGCACUUUUACUUUGAAAAAAUCAGAGUGUUUCAAGCAGGCAGCUCGCUCUUGCAUGGAUUAGCAUGGGAUAAUGAAAUAGGACUUUGGUGCUAUUUUGUUGGUUUCGAACACCGAAGUAAUGAUGAGAAGGGACAGUCAGGGGCACUCGUAUUCCGCAGAGAGAGGUGAAAUUCUCAGACCCGCGGAAGACGAACCACUGCGAAAGCAUUUGCCAGGGAUGUUUUCACUGAUCAAGAACGAAAGUUAGGGGAUCGAAGAUGAUCAGAUACCGUCGUAGUCUUAACCAUAAACCAUGCCGACUAGGGAUUGGAGGAUGUUCACUGAUUGACUCCUUCAGCACCUUACGGGAAACUAAAGUCUUUGGGUUCCGGGGGGAGUAUGGUCGCAAGGCUGAAACUUAAAGGAAUUGACGGAAGGGCACCACCAGGUGUGGAGCCUGCGGCUUAAUUUGACUCAACACGGGGAAACUUACCAGGUCCAGACAUUGUGAGGAUUGACAGAUUGAGAGCUCUUUCUUGAUUCGAUGGGUGGUGGUGCAUGGCCGUUCUUAGUUGGUGGAGUGAUUUGUCUGGUUAAUUCCGUUAACGAACGAGACCUUAGCCUGCUAAAUAGUGACGCGAACUCUUUGUUGGCGGGCCACUUCUUAGAGGGACAACUUGUCUUCAACAAGUGGAAGUUUGAGGCAAUAACAGG